Molecule: long non-coding RNA, 238 nt
Filed under: Lathyrus oleraceus (garden pea)
Lineage: Eukaryota; Viridiplantae; Streptophyta; Magnoliopsida; Fabales; Fabaceae
Description: Pisum sativum (pea) long non-coding RNA (PSAT_LNC002199)
Source: RNAcentral
AACUUUUGAAAUCAAUUUCCAAAUACCUUUGCAUGGCUUCAUGUUAUGAUAUCAGCAUGUUUUGUGCACGAAUUUGGACUUAAUGCAACCAUCAUUUGGGCCUGAAUGCAUGCCUAUGCACCCAUGCAUACAAGUUACAAAAUUUGGCCAAAUUUUCAAAAGGUGUGGAAAGCAAUAUGUAGGCUAUAAAUACAUGCCCUUGCUGAUCAGAAAAGGAAUCCACCUUGCCCAAGCUUUG